Molecule: ribosomal RNA, 253 nt
Filed under: uncultured bacterium
Lineage: Bacteria
Description: partial 16S ribosomal RNA
Rfam family: Bacterial small subunit ribosomal RNA
Source: RNAcentral
UACGAAGGGGGCUAGCGUUGCUCGGAAUCACUGGGCGUAAAGCGCACGUAGGCGGCUUUUUAAGUCAGGGGUGAAAUCCUGGAGCUUAACUCCAGAACUGCCUUUGAUACUGAAGAGCUAGAGUCCGGAAGAGGUGAGUGGAACUGCGAGUGUAGAGGUGAAAUUCGUAGAUAUUCGCAAGAACACCAGUGGCGAAGGCGGCUCACUGGUCCACAACUGACGCUGAGGCGCGAAAGCUAGGGGAGCAAACAGG